AUGAGCAGGAACAAUGGUAAGGGGCCGAAGCUGGACCUGAGGCUGAGCUUUUCGCGGUCACGCGGCGGCGGCCGUGGCGGCGGCGGAGGGGGUCCAUCGGCUGCGCCGCCGGGAGGCAGCAACUCGCCGAGGAGGAUGUCUUCGUCGUCUUCUUCCUCCGCAUCCCCGCCGAGCUCGUGCGUGUCGUCGGAGGGGAGCCCGGAGGCUGGUGGGGGCAGUGGUGGCUCGGCGAUGAUCCUCGCGGGCUGCCCCCGGUGCAUGAUGUACGUGAUGCUGUCGCGGGAGGACCCCAAGUGCCCCAAGUGCCACAGCACUGUGCUCCUCGACUUCAACGACGUCGGCGCCGACCACCGCAACCCAGGGUUCGGCUCCGGCAAGGUCGGCAAGGGCAAGCGCGGCUGA
RNAcentral lists this ribosomal RNA (402 nucleotides) under Triticum aestivum (bread wheat). RNAcentral's name for it is "partial small subunit ribosomal RNA". Lineage: Eukaryota; Viridiplantae; Streptophyta; Magnoliopsida; Poales; Poaceae. The record is from RNAcentral.